Molecule: ribosomal RNA, 244 nt
Filed under: uncultured bacterium
Lineage: Bacteria
Description: partial 16S ribosomal RNA
Rfam family: Bacterial small subunit ribosomal RNA
Source: RNAcentral
UACGUGGGGUGCAAGCGUUGUUCGGAAUUAUUGGGCGUAAAGAGCUCGUAGGCGGUCUGUCGCGUCUGCUGUGAAAAACUCGGGGCUUAACCCCGGGCCUGCAGUGGGUACGGGCAGACUAGAGUGCGGUAGGGGAGACUGGAAUUCCUGGUGUAGCGGUGAAAUGCGUAGAGAUCCGGAAGAACACCGGUGGCGAAGGCGGUCUGCUGGGCAGUUGCUGGACACUGAGGCGCGAAAGCCAGGG